CCCUUAGAUGUUCUGGGCCGCACGCGCGCUACACUGAUGAAUUCAACGAGCUCCUAACCUAGGCCGAAGGGUCCGGGUAAUCUUGUGAACGUUCGUCGUGAUGGGGAUAGAUUAUUGCAAUUGUUAAUCUUCAACGAGGAAUUCCUAGUAAACGCAAGUCAUCAGCUUGCAUUGAUUACGUCCCUGCCCUUUGUACACACCGCCCGUCGCACCUACCGAUUGAAUGGUCCGGUGAAUUCUUCGGACUGCGGCUUUGACUCGAUUUCGGUCGAGGCGUUGCUGCGGGAAGUUGAUUAAACCUUACCAUUUAGAGGAAGGUGAAGUCGUAACA
RNAcentral lists this ribosomal RNA (331 nucleotides) under uncultured eukaryote. RNAcentral's name for it is "partial 18S ribosomal RNA". It matches the Rfam family "Eukaryotic small subunit ribosomal RNA", at positions 1470 to 1796 of the family's 1831-position model. The record is from RNAcentral.